Molecule: ribosomal RNA, 253 nt
Filed under: uncultured bacterium
Lineage: Bacteria
Description: partial 16S ribosomal RNA
Rfam family: Bacterial small subunit ribosomal RNA
Source: RNAcentral
UACGGAGGGUGCAAGCGUUACCCGGAAUCACUGGGCGUAAAGGGCAUGUAGGCGGUUAUUUAAGUCUGGAUUUAAAGACCGAGGCUCAACCUCGGGAAUGGUCUGGAUACUGGAUAACUGGAGGACUGGAGGGGAGAGUGGAAUUCUCGGUGUAGCGGUGGAAUGCGUAGAUACCGAGAGGAACACCAGUGGCGAAGGCGGCUCUCUGGACAGUGCGUGACGCUGAGGUGCGAAAGUGUGGGGAGCAAACCGG